RNAcentral lists this ribosomal RNA (301 nucleotides) under uncultured bacterium. Its description in RNAcentral is "partial 16S ribosomal RNA". It matches the Rfam family "Bacterial small subunit ribosomal RNA", at positions 509 to 807 of the family's 1533-position model. The record is from RNAcentral.
CAGUCGCCACGGUAAUACGAAGGGGGCUAGCGUUGUUCGGAUUUACUGGGCGUAAAGGGCGCGUAGGCGGACUGAUAAGUCAGGGGUGAAAUCCCAAGGCUCAACCUUGGAACUGCCUUUGAUACUGGCUGUCUUGAGUAUGAGAGAGGUGUGUGGAACUCCGAGUGUAGAGGUGAAAUUCGUAGAUAUUCGGAAGAACACCAGUGGCGAAGGCGACACACUGGCUCAUUACUGACGCUGAGGCGCGAAAGCGUGGGGAGCAAACAGGAUUAGAUACCCCCGUAGUCCCUGUCUCUUAUAC